AGGAGAGGAAAGUUCCACCAUGGACCAGGGGACCAGAACAUCUGAGCCCACUGCCAACACCUCCCAUUCCCUCCCUUCCACAUCCUUGGCAACCCCAUCCACGACGAACCUUAGUAUAACAACAUCUGUUAAUCCUCCUUUUACUGGAACUUGCUCAACAGUGUCCAUUGAAGUUCAGGACGUGACUGGAGCAGAAAUACAGCUCAGCUGGACCAGUAGCAGCAAAGGCAGCCUCUACAACAUCUCUGUCAUGGAUGGAGAGGAAAUAAAUACAACAACUACAAAAGACACAAAAGCUGUGCUUAAAAACCUGCUUCCUGGCCAUGUGUACAACAUUUCUGUGGCAGUGUCAUCUUGUGCUAAUAAUCGUUCUUCAGUCACUGUCCGAACAGAUCCUGCUUCCUGUUUCGAAAUAACUGAGUUUUGUUCAGCACAAAGUACUGGCUGUUCUGACUUAAAAAGCAUUGCAUGCUCCAGCCAAGCAUUUGCCUGCAGCGUUCGGUUAAAAAACGAGAUGUUUAAUAAUACACUUUAUAACUCUGCUAGUGAAGACUACAAAACGAUGUCUGAAAGGAUCAAAACAGACGUUGUUGAAGGAAUUCAUGCUGAACUGCCACAGUGGAAUGACCCCUUCAAUAUUGUCAUGCUGGAUUUCAGACCUGGCAGCGUGGUUGCUGAUUUUCUCUUUCUGCUGCCAAAAGAAGCCACGGAUGUGGAGAAUAUACAGACCCACCUGAAAAAAGUAUUAAGGAACAAGUUUGGGCUGUUCCAAACUGAAGUGCAAGCUCUGUCUGUUCAGUCAUCAACUGACAACAGUUCCUCCUGGAGAGUAGCAGUGAUUGUCCUUGGAGUUUUACUUGGAGUUGCAUUAGUGCUGAUUGUCCUGGCAAUACUGUUUUACAUCUAUGUGAGGAGAAGAUCAGGUAAAUACUUGGUUGAACCUUCAGGACUCAUCGGAAUGUUUGUCUACAAGCACUUAUAAGAUAAACCAUCACUUAAAUAUUAUGGGCAAGGCAGAAAAUGACUAUAUUUAUCUUAUCAUUCAAUGUUAAUAGUGCAUAUUAACUUAGGAUAAUUCCACCCUUUCCUCUUCAAUGUCCAUUGCCAAAUUCAUGAGCUUCUAACAACAUUCAAUGAAUCUUCCUUUAAACAGGUAUGGAAUUUCCCACAUUGUACACGUGGUAGAGUGAGGAACAGAGAAACUUCUCUUCAGCCUAUCCCCUAUAGGUACUGCAAUGACUCCUAACAGUGGCAAGCUAGAGAGACAGGAUCCAAACUACUCAAUACUGUAUUUAGGUGACACUGAAAGCAGGGUGACUGAGCCUGGUAGCUGUGGCAGAUCACUUGAAUGCUCAGCUGAGCCCAGAGUCACCCUGUUGGGUUUUGUGCACUUGGCCAAGGGUGAUUCACCUCCCCUGAGACUUUUAUCACAAUAUAAAGACUUUUAUCACAAUAUAAAGACUUUUAUCACAAUAUAAAGAUGCCUUUUUCUCUCCUGUGACUGCAGAAUGAGCCCAGGGUAAUUAGCGUCCUAGCAUUGCAGCUUGAUCAGGAGUUUGGAGAAAAAUGGCAUACAUCUCAGUUAUGUGGGCUUGCUAUAGAAAUCUGGUGGACCAGAAACUUGAUUUGGACACUUCUCAGUUCAAAGUUUCUUCAAUUGCUGGGCUGUGAAGGAAUAACUGCUCAUAUGUGUGAAAUGUAUAGCAUGCUAAAUACAGGUGUGGUUCCACAGCAUAGUCUCAACAUGUUAGUAGAUGGGGAAGGCAAACAUUAGGUUAAUUUGAGCUAAAAGUAUUUUACUCACCUUUUUUUGCCUGUCAAAAAUGGUUGGCUGAGCAAAGAUGUGUCAUAAAGUGCAAUAUUGUCCUGCUCUUGAUAAUCCUAAAGUAGAAUCCAAUAGAAGAAACUCCUGUGGCAUUGGAGCAGACCUUGCUUUAGAUUUCUUCUAAUUGCUUUAGAGCAAUUAGAAGAAAUGAUCUUUACCUUUUCCCACCACUCUUCACUGCAGUCCUGGAGAAGUUACAGUCUGUUUCUACUGUGGUGCAGUUUUUCCUGCUUGGACUGUGGUGAACAGAUGAUAAUGGGGCAGUUUACUGCUGUUCAUAUUUCCAGCAGGAUUUAUGUGUUCCAUUUCGAACCAGCUCUCCCUGUAGCUGUACAUUUUGUCAGUCUGCCUACACUCGGAAUUCCUGUUGAGGCACUGAGUAUCCCGUGAUGUUGAGGCCCUGGCUCACACCCCCUGAACACCCCUGUUUUUUGGGGAUUAGGUUAUGGUUAUUUGGCACAGCUUAGAGUGAAUUGGUGCCAGGACUGCAGCACAAGGUGGGAGCUCAUCACAAACAGCUCUGCUCCAUAUGCAGCCAGCAUUCAUUCUUUUCAUCUCUCCAUCCUUGUGCUCCAACAGCUCCUGGCAGAGCCCUGCCGAGGACCCUGGCUGGAAUAUUAUUUUUAGUAGCAGGGACCUAUGAAACAGGGUCUUGCAUGCUCUCCCUUUCACAUGGAGGUCUUGCACACCCUCCAUGCAGUGUCAACUCGUCUAUCCUGAUUAGGUCUGGGGUGUGGAGUCAUAGACACCUCACUGAUGGAAAGAGAGUGAUUAAUAUUUGUUAAACUUUUAUUAUGUGGCUUUUAAAUAUAGCUAUCUCUGGGUGUUCUACUCACUGAACAGUCACUCAACAAUGUAUUCUGUCAGUAAAUACAAGUUCUCUAGGGAGCUCUGUUGAAAAUACAAAUGAGUGCUCUUGCUUAUGUUAAUACUCUUUUAUUUCUUUUUUUGAGGGAUCUACUUUAAAUAGCAAAUCCUCAUUGUCAGUAAACCUUUCUGAUGUUCUUGUAAAUAGUGUUAAAUAGAGACCAUGUACAGCAGGCUUCAACAGUCCUGGGAUUGUUCAUACAAAAUGUAUUUAAUGUCUUUGGGGGGAAAAAAAGUGGUAUUUUAAACAAUUUUCUCAAAGAUGCUAUACAAAUAAAACCUUUAUUUUUACAAUUGUG
Parus major (Great Tit) is the source of this 2991-nucleotide long non-coding RNA. Ensembl lists it as uncharacterized. The record is from Ensembl. NCBI's taxonomy places the organism in Eukaryota, Metazoa, Chordata, Aves, Passeriformes, Paridae.